Molecule: ribosomal RNA, 500 nt
Filed under: Escherichia coli
Lineage: Bacteria; Pseudomonadati; Pseudomonadota; Gammaproteobacteria; Enterobacterales; Enterobacteriaceae
Description: partial 23S ribosomal RNA
Rfam family: Bacterial large subunit ribosomal RNA
Source: RNAcentral
CAUAGGUUAAUGAGGCGAACCGGGGGAACUGAAACAUCUAAGUACCCCGAGGAAAAGAAAUCAACCGAGAUUCCCCCAGUAGCGGCGAGCGAACGGGGAGCAGCCCAGAGCCUGAAUCAGUAUGUGUGUUAGUGGAAGCGUCUGGAAAGGCGCGCGAUACAGGGUGACAGCCCCGUACACAAAAAUGCACAUGCUGUGAGCUCGAUGAGUAGGGCGGGACACGUGGUAUCCUGUCUGAAUAUGGGGGGACCAUCCUCCAAGGCUAAAUACUCCUGACUGACCGAUAGUGAACCAGUACCGUGAGGGAAAGGCGAAAAGAACCCCGGCGAGGGGAGUGAAAAAGAACCUGAAACCGUGUACGUACAAGCAGUGGGAGCACGCUUAGGCGUGUGACUGCGUACCUUUUGUAUAAUGGGUCAGCGACUUAUAUUCUGUAGCAAGGUUAACCGAAUAGGGGAGCCGAAGGGAAACCGAGUCUUAACUGGGCGUUAAGUUGCAGG